GACGAACGCUGGCGGCGUGCUUAACACAUGCAAGUCGAACGGGCCUUGUCCCCUUUUUUUUGGGGGUGGGGUUAGUGGCGAACGGGUGAGUAACACGUGAGUAACCUGCCCCUCACUUCUGGAUAACCGCUUGAAAGGGUGGCUAAUACGGGGUGUUCUGGCCUGCUCGCAUGGGUGGGUUUGGAAAGAUUCGACCGGUUUUGGUUGUUUUGGUGGGGGAUGGGCUCGCGGCCUAUCAGCUUGUUGGUGGGGUGAUGGCCUGCCAAGGCUUUGACGGGUAGCCGGCCUGAGAGGGGGGGCGGUCACACUGGGACUGAGACACGGCCCAGACUCCUACGGGAGGCAGCAGUGGGGAAUAGUGCACAAUGGGCGCAAGCCUGAUGCAGCGACGCCGCGUGAGGGAUGGAGGCCUUCGGGUUGUGAACCUCUUUCGCCAGUGAAGAAGGUCCUGCUCUUUGUGGUGGGGUUGACGGUAGCUGGGUUAAUGAAGCGCCGGCUAACUACGUG
RNAcentral lists this ribosomal RNA (507 nucleotides) under uncultured bacterium. RNAcentral's name for it is "partial 16S ribosomal RNA". It matches the Rfam family "Bacterial small subunit ribosomal RNA", at positions 28 to 507 of the family's 1533-position model. The record is from RNAcentral.